This 496-nucleotide ribosomal RNA is filed under the name uncultured bacterium. Its description in RNAcentral is "partial 16S ribosomal RNA". It matches the Rfam family "Bacterial small subunit ribosomal RNA", at positions 29 to 507 of the family's 1533-position model. The record is from RNAcentral.
AUGAACGCUGGCGGCGUGCCUAAUACAUGCAAGUAGAACGCUGAAGGAAGGAGCUUGCUCUUUCCGGAUGAGUUGCGAACGGGUGAGUAACGCGUAGGUAACCUGCCUGGUAGCGGGGGAUAACUAUUGGAAACGAUAGCUAAUACCGCAUAACAGUAGAUGUUGCAUGACAACUAUUUGAAAGGGGCAAUUGCUCCACUACCAGAUGGACCUGCGUUGUAUUAGCUAGUUGGUGAGGUAACGGCUCACCAAGGCGACGAUACAUAGCCGACCUGAGAGGGUGAUCGGCCACACUGGGACUGAGACACGGCCCAGACUCCUACGGGAGGCAGCAGUAGGGAAUCUUCGGCAAUGGACGGAAGUCUGACCGAGCAACGCCGCGGGAGUGAAGAAGGUUUUCGGAUCGUAAAGCUCUGUUGUAAGAGAAGAACGAGUGUGAGAGUGGAAAGUUCACACUGUGACGGUAUCUUACCAGAAAGGGACGGCUAACUACGUG